UUCAUUGUUUAAGAUAAAUGGCUGCAUGCUAGAAUGAUUCAGAGAAGAUUAGCACGGCCCUUGGAGCAAAGAUGACACGCAAAUUCGUGAAGCAUUCCAUAUGAAA
Mesocricetus auratus (golden hamster) is the source of this 106-nucleotide small nuclear RNA. The record is from Ensembl. NCBI's taxonomy places the organism in Eukaryota, Metazoa, Chordata, Mammalia, Rodentia, Cricetidae.